GCUGUUCCCGCGCCCGGGGCAGGAAGGCGCGCUGGGCAGUUAGGUGCCCUCAGGGUGCCAGGCUCGUCAGACUGCUGGCCUUUCAGUCAUGUAUUCCAAUAUUUUGAGAAGGCCUACUGUGUGCCAGGCGCUGGGCCCCAGGGAGCGAAGCCGUCGUGCCGCCGCCGUAAUUGUACGCGGGUGCAGGGGUGCAGGGCUGGAAGCAGAUGCCUACUUGGUGCUGGUGUCAUUCCCAAAGGGGAGGCCAUCGCUGGUGCACAGGGAGGCUGGGUGGACAGAAUCUUCCUUUUUCUGCCACCCCCCAAAGCCAUCUAGUGAGAGGUGCUGCCAGCUUUGAAGGAUCCCUGCUCUCCCUGGUCCUCUGGUUCUCUUCAGACUCAUCUCGAGAGGAUGGACUGUCCCAGUGGGUCUCCGGUAAGCGCUGCAGUGGCUUCCUUAGCUGCCCCUCCCUGGAUACUGGUGCACAUAAGGAUGAGAGGAUGGGUGGAUGCAAGGACAAAGGGACAGGUUUUCCCCAAGCCCUCCUUCCCGGUGAGAUCCUCUCUAACCACUACAGCGGAACUGCCGCCCUUCCCCCAGCCAAGCAUCCUUCCCCCUCCUGCCCCCACCUCUGCUCUCUUUCCCCCAUAGCACCUUUCUGCACCUCGAAGACCCUCUCCGUUCAUCAUUGCCUUUCUCCCAUGUUAGUGCAGAGGCUCCCCGAGGGCAGCGAUCCCUUUUUUUUUUUCUUUUUUUUUUUUUAG
This 743-nucleotide long non-coding RNA is filed under the name Sus scrofa (pig). RNAcentral's name for it is "lncRNA (ENSSSCG00050041481.1)". The record is from RNAcentral. Lineage: Eukaryota; Metazoa; Chordata; Mammalia; Artiodactyla; Suidae.